Long non-coding RNA from Oncorhynchus tshawytscha (Chinook salmon), 1110 nucleotides. The record is from Ensembl. NCBI's taxonomy places the organism in Eukaryota, Metazoa, Chordata, Actinopteri, Salmoniformes, Salmonidae.
GAGAGAGAGCGAGAGAGAGAGGGCGAGAGAGAGAGGGCGAGAGAGAGAGGGCGAGAGAGAGAGAGCGAGAGAGAGAGGGCGAGAGAGAGAGGGCGAGAGAGAGAGAGGGCGAGAGAGAGAGCGAGAGAGAGAGAGCGAGAGAGAAAGAGCGUCUAACAAACCAAAAUUGUUUCUCUGAAAACUCCCAGAACAUUUGUUAGGUUGCGGUAAAUGUUAUCAUAACACAAAAACUGUCCCGUCGUGCUGAUGAUUAUACAAUGUUUGUAUAAACAUUUGCCUGAUGUUGCAAGAACGUUCCCAGAACAUUGCGUAUACAUUUUGUUGCAACAGUAUGUUCAAAAAACAUUGCUGGUACAUUGUGUUAUUACAUUACCAGGAAACAUAACGAGAAUGUUGUUUGGGGAAUGGUGGUUGUUACAGAUGUUGUGCGUUUUUGUGAAUGUUAGGAGAACGUCCUAAUUUUGUAUAAAAACCCUUUCUUAUGUUCUGGGUAUGUUCCCGGUUUGCUGGGCAGUCUGUCCUGUCUCUUCACUGGGGUCAGCCAGUCAAGUCAGGUGAACCAUGAGAGUCCAUACAGCACAGUCCAUACAGCACAGUCCAUACAGCACAGUCCAUACACUACACACUGUAGCAAUAGAAUAGUGUUGACAUUCAAAAGAGUGUCACUGAUCCUUAUCAAAUCUUUCAGAUUUUGUAGAAUCUAAGAAGAAGCCUGCUCCCUCUUCUCUCCUCUGACUUUCAUUUCCCUCGGCUUUGACUGCGAUGGAAAUAUCCCUUGCUGCUGUGUCGGCUCCACGGACAGCAUAACUCACAAGAACUGCCAAAAUAAUGCCUAUAGGAAUUCCAGUACAUGCGCCAAGUGUUCCAUGUUCUGCACCUGCAACUGCUCCCAUGAGUGCCCCCACUACAGCAGUCAUAAUCACUAUUAGUGGUUUGACGUAGUGGCCCACCACAGACAAGGCCUCUUCCCUGUAUCCUUGCUUGACGGCCUGUAGGUCCACCUUCUGAUGGUCAGCCAUUACCGACCCGUCCUCUUCUCUGUGCUUACUUCAAAGAAUAAACACACACACAGAGACAGUUCAUGAAUCAGAUCACCGUUACAGAUGUAGG